RNAcentral lists this ribosomal RNA (243 nucleotides) under uncultured bacterium. Its description in RNAcentral is "partial 16S ribosomal RNA". It matches the Rfam family "Bacterial small subunit ribosomal RNA", at positions 84 to 334 of the family's 1533-position model. The record is from RNAcentral.
UACCCAGUCGAGCGGCGAACGGGUGAGUAACGCGUGGGUACCUGCCCUGAGGUGGGGGAUAACCCGGGGAAACUCGGGCUAAUACCGCAUAUGACCGUGAGGUCAAAGGGGGCCGCAAGGCUCUCGCCACAGGAGGGGCCCGCGUCCGAUUAGCUAGUUGGUAGGGUAAUGGCCUACCAAGGCGACGAUCGGUAGCCGGCCUGAGGGGGUGAUCGGCCACACUGGAACUGAGACACGGUCCAG